GCGCCCUUAGCUCAGCUGGAUAGAGCAACGGCCUUCUAAGCCGUAGGUCAUUGGUUCGAAUCCAAAUAGGGCGUGCCA
Molecule: transfer RNA, 78 nt
Filed under: Histophilus somni
Lineage: Bacteria; Pseudomonadati; Pseudomonadota; Gammaproteobacteria; Pasteurellales; Pasteurellaceae
Description: tRNA-Arg
Rfam family: tRNA
About the family: Transfer RNA (tRNA) molecules are approximately 80 nucleotides in length. Their secondary structure includes four short double-helical elements and three loops (D, anti-codon, and T loops).
Source: RNAcentral